This 672-nucleotide ribosomal RNA is filed under the name Triticum aestivum (bread wheat). RNAcentral's name for it is "partial small subunit ribosomal RNA". The record is from RNAcentral. Lineage: Eukaryota; Viridiplantae; Streptophyta; Magnoliopsida; Poales; Poaceae.
CUUAACCAGGCGCUCCUCACGCUGCUGCCCAAGCGCGCGGAUGCUCGCUGUCUCGGAGACUACAGGCCGAUAAGCCUCAUCCACCUCGUCGCCAAGAUCUUCGCGAAGGUCCUCUCGCUGUGUCUCGCGCCCAAGCUUAAUGCCCUCGUCAGCGUGAACCAGAACGCGUUCAUCCCCGGACGCUCGUUGCAUGACAACUUCGUCCUCGUCCGGCAGUCCGCGCGCCUCCUCCAUCAGCUUAAGGCCCCCCGCUUGCUGCCGAAGCUCGACUUGGCACGGGCCUUCGACUCGAUCAGCUGGCCGUUCCUCUUCGAGGUAUUGCGCCAAUACGGAUUCGGGAACCGCUUCCUAGACUGGCUGGCCAUUCUGCUUUCGUCGGCCAGCACCAAGGUGCUCCUGAACGGCAAGCCUGGCCCGACCAUUUGGCAUCGUUGUGGGUUUCGACAGGCCGAUCCCCUCUCGCCCCAGCUAUUUGUCCUUGCGGUUGACACGCUUAGCCGUCUCCUUCGCCGAGCCACCGAGACGGGCAUCUUGCAGCAGCUUCACCCGCGGCGCCCGAUCUCGGCCGUCUCACUAUAUGCGGACGAUGUGAUCCUAUUUUGCCACCCCACCCAGGGCGACACCAUGGCAGUGAAAGGAGUCCUGCAGCUCUUCGGACGCGCGUCGGGCCUC